RNAcentral lists this ribosomal RNA (479 nucleotides) under uncultured bacterium. RNAcentral's name for it is "bacterial SSU rRNA". It matches the Rfam family "Bacterial small subunit ribosomal RNA", at positions 29 to 507 of the family's 1533-position model. The record is from RNAcentral.
AUGAACGCUAGCGGCAGGCUUAACACAUGCAAGUCGAGGGGUAGAAGCAGCUUGCUGCUUUGAGACCGGCGCACGGGUGCGUAACGCGUAUACAAUCUACCUUUUACAGAGGGAUAGCCCAGAGAAAUUUGGAUUAAUACCUCAUAGUAUUUUCGAAUCGCAUGAUUUGAUUAUUAAAGUUCCAACGGUAAAAGAUGAGUAUGCGUCCCAUUAGCCAGAUGGUAAGGUAACGGCUUACCAUGGCAACGAUGGGUAGGGGUCCUGAGAGGGAGAUCCCCCACACUGGUACUGAGACACGGACCAGACUCCUACGGGAGGCAGCAGUGAGGAAUAUUGGACAAUGGGCGCAAGCCUGAUCCAGCCAUGCCGCGUGCAGGAAGACGGUCCUAUGGAUUGUAAACUGCUUUUAUACAGGAAGAAACACCUCUACGUGUAGAGACUUGACGGUACUGUAUGAAUAAGCAUCGGCUAACUCCGUG